RNAcentral lists this ribosomal RNA (467 nucleotides) under uncultured bacterium. RNAcentral's name for it is "partial 16S ribosomal RNA". It matches the Rfam family "Bacterial small subunit ribosomal RNA", at positions 28 to 507 of the family's 1533-position model. The record is from RNAcentral.
GAUGAACGCUGGCGGCGUGCUUAACACAUGCAAGUCGAACGGAAAGGCCCAAGCUUGCUUGGGUACUCGAGUGGCGAACGGGUGAGUAACACGUGGGUGAUCUGCCCUGCACUUCGGGAUAAGCCUGGGAAACUGGGUCUAAUACCGGAUAGGACCACUUCUUGGAUGUUGUGGUGGAAAGUUUUUUCGGUGUGGGAUGAGCUCGCGGCCUAUCAGCUUGUUGGUGGGGUAAUGGCCUACCAAGGCGUCGACGGGUAGCCGGCCUGAGAGGGUGUACGGCCACAUUGGGACUGAGAUACGGCCCAGACUCCUACGGGAGGCAGCAGUGGGGAAUAUUGCACAAUGGGCGCAAGCCUGAUGCAGCGACGCCGCGUGGGGGAUGACGGCCUUCGGGUUGUAAACUCCUUUCGCUAGGGACGAAGCGUUUUGUGACGGUACCUAGAGAAGAAGCACCGGCUAACUACGUG